RNAcentral lists this ribosomal RNA (3582 nucleotides) under Triticum aestivum (bread wheat). Its description in RNAcentral is "partial small subunit ribosomal RNA". Lineage: Eukaryota; Viridiplantae; Streptophyta; Magnoliopsida; Poales; Poaceae. The record is from RNAcentral.
AUGACGGACUUCGCCCCCCUAUCGGAGCCUGAUGCAUCAACGCCGCUUGUCGCGCGGGACAUCAGCUGGUUAAAAGCCAUAUAUCUUAUGACAGUAGUUGCUGCCACAAUCCUGCCCCUCCUCUCGAUCCACCCCUCCCGCUGCGACCUCUCUCUUCCCUCGUCUCCCGCUCCACCGCCGCCGCCCCAUCUCCCGCUCCAUCGCCGCCGCCCCAUCUCCCGUCUCCAGUCGCAGCCGCCGCCGCACCCCAAUCCAACACCGCCGCCGGCAAUCUCCUCGCCCCCCUGCGCCGCCGCCCCCAACCUUCUAUUCCUCUCCCAAGGGAAUCCCAAGGGAAGUGAAGGGAAGGGAAGGGAAGGCAAGGGAAGGGAAGGGAAGGAAGAGGGAGCGCCCAGAUCCACGGCGGCAUCAGCGCGCCGUCAUCGACCCGAUCCGCGUCCGUCCUCGAGGGAGGUCGGCCAUGGAGGUCCGACCCGGCCCGGCAGAAGCCAUGGACGGACGGAGACGCCCCAAACCCUACCCUCAAGGACGACGCCUCAACCUUCAAGGACGCGCGCCGGCGACCGCGGAUCUCCGGUGACGGCUAUGCUGCAGCAGCAGCUGGACGACCGAACGCACGAGCCCUCCCUCCCUCCCUCAUGGCUCUGCUUCUUCCUACCCUGCCCCCCUCACGUUGGCGUGGUGAGCUUCAUACCCCCCGUGCACAUCUCAUCUCAUCUCAUCAAAUCUAGAUUGCUCUGGACGUAUUUAUCCUGUAAGGGUUGUGUCGGCAGGAGCAUAGAUGGUGCACAGGAGAGCUGCCUUGUCAUUGAUAGAGGAAGUAAAGAAAAAAAGUUCCACUAUAAUGUUGUUGAUGAUAGCCAAGCCGCCGCCUCUCCGCCGAGAAAGAAGGAUCCCGAUCUCCGCCGUGGUCGACAAACAGCGCGAUGGGCGGAGCACCCAGCCGGUAGGCUCAUCCCUUCUCCGAUCCACUCCGGCGGCGGCCAUCGUUGGAAAGAGAUGCAGACGAGAGGAAGAGAGCCUCCCCAAGCUCUGUCUAGGCGAUGCACGAGCGACAACCACCCUUCCUGUUAUUGCCUCCAUGGCUGGCUGCUCAUCCCCAGGAACCUCCUCCCCUCUCACGUGCGCCACACUCUGGGAUUAAGGGCGUGGUCACAUUGCAGGCAGCAAGGAGCAGCGCAAAGUUGUCUCGGCCUUGCCCUGCAUCGAGGAGGAACACAGCUUCCCCUCCUCUCGAUCCACCCCUCCCGCUGCGACCUCUCUCUUCCCUCGUCUCCCGCUCCACCGCCGCCGCCCCAUCUCCCGCUCCAUCGCCGCCGCCCCAUCUCCCGUCUCCAGUCGCAGCCGCCGCCGCACCCCAAUCCAACACCGCCGUCGGCAAUCUCCUCGCCCCCCUGCGCCGCCGCCCCCAACCUUCUAUUCCUCUCCCAAGGGAAUCCCAAGGGAAGUGAAGGGAAGGGAAGGGAAGGCAAGGGAAGGGAAGGGAAGGAAGAGGGAGCGCCCAGAUCCACGGCGGCAUCAGCGCGCCGUCAUCGACCUGAUCCGCGUCCGUCCUCGAGGGAGGUCGGCCAUGGAGGUCCGACCCGGCCCGGCAGAAGCCAUGGACGGACGGAGACGCCCCAAACCCUACCCUCAAGGACGACGCCUCAACCUUCAAGGACGCGCGCCGGCGACCGCGGAUCUCCGGUGACGGCUAUGGUGAGUGUGUACCUGCGGACGUUCUUCCUCGGAUUCAUCAUCUCCCCCUGCUCCUGCGGCAGCAGCUGGACGACCGAACGCACGAGCCCUCCCUCCCUCCCUCAUGGCUCUGCUUCUUCCUACCCUGCCCCCUCACGUUGGCGUGAGGUUCCACAUGCUGCUCUCUACUUUGUGCCACUGAAUGAAAGAUCAAUUUAUAUUCUUUUGAUUUCUGUCACAGGUUUAUGCUUCUUUUCAAUUAUGCAAUUUAGAAAGAAAAAAAGUAUGUUAUUAUGUCAUUAUACCAUGUCAGUAUAUGUCAUGGAGGCCGCCAAGCCGCCGCCUCUCCGCCGAGAAAGAAGGAUCCCGAUCUCCGCCGUGGUCGACAAACAGCGCGAUGGGCGGAGCACCCAGCCGGUAGGCUCAUCCCCUUCUCCGAUCCACUCCGGCGGCGGCCAUCGUUGGAAAGAGAUGCAGACGAGAGGAAGAGAGCCUCCCCAAGCUCUGUCUAGGCGAUGCACGAGCGACAACCACCCUUCCUGUUAUUGCCUCCAUGGCUGGCUGCUCAUCCCCAGGAACCUCCUCCCCUCUCACGUGCGCCACACUCUGGGAUUAAGGUCUGCUCCUUGGCUGACAUUUGCGCAGACCGAUUCUUUGGUUUCUCUCCACCGAAGAAUGAAAGAAACAAGCAAGCUGAUGUCUAACAUAUUCCUUCCCCUCCUCUCGAUCCACCCCUCCCGCUGCGACCUCUCUCUUCCCUCGUCUCCCGCUCCACCGCCGCCGCCCCAUCUCCCGCUCCAUCGCCGCCGCCCCAUCUCCCGUCUCCAGUCGCAGCCGCCGCCGCACCCCAAUCCAACACCGCCGUCGGCAAUCUCCUCGCCCCCCUGCGCCGCCGCCCCCAACCUUCUAUUCCUCUCCCAAGGGAAUCCCAAGGGAAAGGUUCCACAUGCUGCUCUCUACUUUGUGCCACUGAAUGAAAGAUCAAUUUAUAUUCUUUUGAUUUCUGUCACAGGGUUCCACUAUAAUGUUGUUGAUGAUAGCCAAGCCGCCGCCUCUCCGCCGAGAAAGAAGGAUCCCGAUCUCCGCCGUGGUCGACAAACAGCGCGAUGGGCGGAGCACCCAGCCGGUAGGCUCAUCCCCUUCUCUGAUCCACUCCGGCGGCGGCCAUCGUUGGAAAGAGAUGCAGACGAGAGGAAGAGAGCCUCCCCCAAGCUCUAUCUAGGUGAUGCACGAGCGACGACCACCCUUCCUGUUAUUGCCUCCAUGGCUGGCUGCUCAUCCCCAGGAACCUCCUCCCCUCUCACGUAUCUAGGGCAGGGCGUGGUCACAUUGCAGGCAGCAAGGAGCAGCGCAAAGUUUUCUCGGCCGUGCCCUGCAUCGAGGAGGAACACAGAUGUUCCGGGAUUGCUAGCUCCUGCCAGGCAGUGCCCUCCCCUUCAGCAGGAGAUCUUGCUGGUUCUGCAUGGCACAACUGGAUUAAAUAUGCUACAGCAAGCGAAGGAGUUCAACGAUGUUGUUGGAAUCAAAGGAUUCAUCCUAACGAAAUUAGACGGGACUGCUCGUGUUGGAUGUGUGGUGAUAUCAUUUGAUACCAUGCUUGAUUUGUACUACUACUUAAAAAUUAGCUUUCUUGCAGCCGUGGUUGAUUUGCAGAUGAGGCGUUGGGAGGGGAUUAGUGUGGAGAGAGGGGCGAUUAGCGGAGGACUCCUACUUGGCAGUCCAUGGGAGGGGGUGUGUGGAGUUGGUCAAGGGCGGGCUCGCUGCGACCCAGACGUGUGCGUGCAUGUUGGGCGCGGGCAGAGCGGGCCGGACCAGGCGCUCCACAUGGACGGGGACGUGGGGUGCGCGCCCAGACAUGGCCCAGGAUAUAAGACCCCCCUAGACAUUGUAACAGGUGUGGGUUGA